Molecule: long non-coding RNA, 1349 nt
Organism: Ostrea edulis (European flat oyster)
Lineage: Eukaryota; Metazoa; Mollusca; Bivalvia; Ostreida; Ostreidae
Exons: 2
Source: RefSeq, a predicted model, not a curated record
AUUUUCUUACAAUUUUGAGAAAAUUACAGGUUGUUGAACUUUAUAUCUGAUAUAAUAGAUUUUGCACAAACUCCUGCAAAAGUGCAAUUUAUUGUUGCAUGAAAAGAAUUCAAAUUCUAAGUAAGAUUCAGACCUAUGAUCCACAAAGAACAUGACCCACAAUAUGCCAUUUUUGGUCUACCAAAUUUGGAAAAAUUAAAGAACACUUUAGAAUAAAUCUAAGAUUAUAUUUUUUAUCCAUAACAUGAGCCAAGUUGUAUUGCGCAAUCGUUUCCUCACACCGGAUGUUUAAAGCACUCAAGUAAAUGCCCAAACCUACCGCAGUUUCACGUUUUCCGGGAAAAUCGCAUAAAUUUGCCAACUUCAGUCUAUAAAUUCACAUGGGCCGCACUACUCACGACUCAAUUUUGUAAACUAAAAUUAAAAUGCAAAGUUCGAUUAACACUUUCCAUCAAAAAAAUUAACUCGUAAGCAAUGCGGCCAUGUCGAAAAAAAAAAAAUAAUGAUAACAAAAGUGUCGUCUGGAAACGUCAGAUUCCAAGGAAGUCAAUACAUACACCUAACACAGUUGAUACGACUCAAAAAGAAACAGCAAAGAGAUAUGCCAAGGAGUGGUCCCUAAUUCUUUCUCUGUUUCAACUGUCCAUGGAGAGUAAAACCAAAACACAGAUCCAGGAUUUCAAAGAAAUAUAGGUCGGUGAUCACCACUCUGAUAGGGAGGGCACCAUCUGAUCAUGAUUUUCUGUGUAAUAUAUGCCAGAGUGUGUGUGUUGCUCCCAUAUUAAACAGAAGAAUAUCAAGUCGGUUAGGCAACAGAUUCAAGACAGUCCAGCACCACCACCAGCAGCAGCAGUUCUUCCAAUUAGUCCCCCUUCUGUAUCACUCCCAUCCCCAUGUACAUCAAGAGGGCACACUUCAUGCUGUAUCUGCAAGUGACCAGGUCCAAAGUUAGUUGUAGUCCCAGUAGGAGUAAGGCAUGAAAUCUUCAUUUCAAAAGAGGCCAUCAUUCCUGCCGGGGCUCGCUUCUGUACAAAUCACCUACAACAAGACAUAGAAGAACUUGAACCUAUUGCUGACAACACCAUGUUCAACAAAACAGGAGUGACAUAAUUAAUCAAACAAGUUUUUGAGAGCUGAAGUUUUGAGAAAAGAGAAAAUAAGGUUGGAUUUUGACAACAGUGAAAGUCUAAAAGUGAGCAUCAGAAUCUCCUGAGAACCCCUAAAGCUGCUUUUGAGGACUUGCUGAGAUAUGUAAACCUGUAGAAUAUGGAAACUUGUGCUAGAUAAAAGCUUUAUAACCUUUCUACCAGUGAUGUAUUUGUUGACAAUAAAAAGGGUAUUUGAUUUUA